RNAcentral lists this ribosomal RNA (627 nucleotides) under uncultured bacterium. RNAcentral describes it as "bacterial SSU rRNA". The stretch from base 1 to 522 matches the Rfam family "Bacterial small subunit ribosomal RNA", at positions 338 to 873 of the family's 1533-position model. The record is from RNAcentral.
CCUACGGGAGGCAGCAGUGGGGAAUAUUGGACAAUGGGGGAAACCCUGAUCCAGCAAUGCCGCGUGAGUGAUGAAGGCCUUCGGGUUGUAAAGCUCUUUCACCCACGACGAUGAUGACGGUAGUGGGAGAAGAAGCCCCGGCUAACUUCGUGCCAGCAGCCGCGGUAAUACGAAGGGGGCUAGCGUUGUUCGGAGUUACUGGGCGUAAAGGGCGCGUAGGCGGCCUGGUCAGUCUGGUGUGAAAGCCCGGGGCUCAACCCCGGGAAUUGCACUGGAGACGGCCAAGCUUGAGUGUGGGAGAGGAUGGUGGAAUUCCCAGUGUAGAGGUGAAAUUCGUAGAUAUUGGGAAGAACACCGGUGGCGAAGGCGGCCAUCUGGACCAUUACUGACGCUGAGGCGCGAAAGCGUGGGGAGCAAACAGGAUUAGAUACCCUGGUAGUCCACGCCGUAAACGAUGAGUGCUAGACGUCGGGUCCGUACGGUCGUUCGGUGUCGCGAGCUACGACAUAAGUACACUCCGUCCGUCGGGUACGGUACGGGUCCGGCCGAACGGUUAAAACCGUUAACGAAACUAGUAAGUUAGUACGGCGUGAGACGUCGCCGACGGACGACCGACGAGGGAGUAGG